GCGAGUUCUAAACUCCAACCCUCGAGGACAUACCUAUCGUUGCUUCGGCGGGGCCCCCUCGCAGGGGGGCAGCAGGGCCCGCCCCUGCGCCCGCCGGUGGCACGCCAACCAAAACCUGAAUCACAGUCGCAUUCUGAGUGGACUACAAAUAAGUCA
This 156-nucleotide unclassified non-coding RNA is filed under the name soil metagenome. Its description in RNAcentral is "partial internal transcribed spacer 1". The record is from RNAcentral.